This 422-nucleotide ribosomal RNA is filed under the name Litomosoides hamletti. Its description in RNAcentral is "partial 12S ribosomal RNA". The record is from RNAcentral. Lineage: Eukaryota; Metazoa; Nematoda; Chromadorea; Rhabditida; Onchocercidae.
GUUUUUUUUUAUUUUUAAUCUAUUUUUGUAAAAUGUUUUAGUUUUUUAUAUUUUUUGGAGAUGUAUAAAAUUUGGUGUUUGAACUGGAUUAGUACCCAGGUAAUCAAAGUUUAUUAAUUCGGGAGUAAAGUUUAGUUUAAACCGAAAAAAUAUUGACUGACUUUAGAUUUUUCUUUGGAAUAUGUGAUUUUGGAUAGUCCUCCUUAUUGGUUAAUUUUGUUGGCACAUGUAUGAUUGUUUAGUUUUUAUUAUAUCAGUGAUGCUUUUUUUAUAAUUUUUAUUUUAAAACAGAUAUAUAUUUGGCUUAUAAGUUAAUUUUUCAUGUGUUACUAUUAUUAAAUUUUUUGGAUUGGAUUUUUUAUUAAAUGUUUUUAUGAAAUUGGAAAAGAAAGUAAUUGGGAUUUUUAUGUUUGGAUGAAUUU